This 450-nucleotide ribosomal RNA is filed under the name uncultured bacterium. RNAcentral describes it as "bacterial SSU rRNA". It matches the Rfam family "Bacterial small subunit ribosomal RNA", at positions 354 to 796 of the family's 1533-position model. The record is from RNAcentral.
GUGGGGAAUUUUGGACAAUGGGGGCAACCCUGAUCCAGCCAUGCCGCGUGAGUGAAGAAGGCCUUCGGGUUGUAAAGCUCUUUCGGCCGGGACGAAAUCGCAUGGGCUAAUACCCUGUGUGGAUGACGGUACCGGAAUAAGAAGCACCGGCUAACUACGUGCCAGCAGCCGCGGUAAUACGUAGGGUGCGAGCGUUAAUCGGAAUUACUGGGCGUAAAGCGUGCGCAGGCGGUUUUUUAAGACAGGCGUGAAAUCCCCGGGCUUAACCUGGGAACUGCGCUUGUGACUGGAAGGCUAGAGUACGGCAGAGGGGGGUGGAAUUCCACGUGUAGCAGUGAAAUGCGUAGAGAUGUGGAGGAACACCGAUGGCGAAGGCAGCCCCCUGGGCCGAUACUGACGCUCAUGCACGAAAGCGUGGGGAGCAAACAGGAUUAGAAACCCCAGUAGUCC